GAAUAUUGGGCAAUGGGCGCAAGCCUGACCCAGCGACGCCGCGUGAGGGAAGACGGUCUUCGGAUUGUAAACCUCUUUCAGCAGGGAAGACAAAAGGACGGUACCUGCAGAAGAAGCCACGGCUAACUACGUGCCAGCAGCCGCGGUAAUACGUAGGUGGCAAGCGUUAUCCGGAUUUAUUGGGUUUAAAGGGUGCGUAGGCGGGCUGUUAAGUCAGCGGUCAAAUGUCGGGGCUCAACCCCGGCCUGCCGUUGAAACUGGCGGCCUCGAGUGGGCGAGAAGUAUGCGGAAUGCGUGGUGUAGCGGUGAAAUGCAUAGAUAUCACGCAGAACUCCGAUUGCGAAGGCAGCAUACCGGCGCCCUACUGACGCUGAGGCACGAAAGCGUGGGUAUCGAACAG
This 400-nucleotide ribosomal RNA is filed under the name uncultured bacterium. RNAcentral's name for it is "bacterial SSU rRNA". It matches the Rfam family "Bacterial small subunit ribosomal RNA", at positions 359 to 775 of the family's 1533-position model. The record is from RNAcentral.